GAUGAACGCUGGCGGCGUGCCUAAUACAUGCAAGUCGAGCGAACGGACGAGAAGCUUGCUUCUCUGAUGUUAGCGGCGGACGGGUGAGUAACACGUGGAUAACCUACCUAUAAGACUGGGAUAACUUCGGGAAACCGGAGCUAAUACCGGAUAAUAUUUUGAACCGCAUGGUUCAAAAGUGAAAGACGGUCUUGCUGUCACUUAUAGAUGGAUCCGCGCUGCAUUAGCUAGUUGGUAAGGUAACGGCUUACCAAGGCAACGAUGCAUAGCCGACCUGAGAGGGUGAUCGGCCAAAAUGGAACGGAGACACGGUCCAGAAGACUACGGGAGGCAGCAGUAGGGAAACUUCCGCAAUGGGCGAAAGCCUGACGGAGCAACGCCGCGUGAGUGAUGAAGGGCUUCGGAUCGUAAAACUCUGUUAUUAGGGAAGAACAUAUGUGUAAGUAACUGUGCACAUCUUGACGGUACCUAAUCAGAAAGCCACGGCUAACUACGUGC
Molecule: ribosomal RNA, 498 nt
Filed under: uncultured bacterium
Lineage: Bacteria
Description: partial 16S ribosomal RNA
Rfam family: Bacterial small subunit ribosomal RNA
Source: RNAcentral